Long non-coding RNA from Dicentrarchus labrax (European seabass), 976 nucleotides. RefSeq lists it as uncharacterized. The transcript is spliced from 2 exons. Lineage: Eukaryota; Metazoa; Chordata; Actinopteri; Moronidae. The record is from RefSeq and is a predicted model, not a curated record.
ACUUUUCUAGAUCAUUGUAAAGCUACAUAUGCAGAAAGUUCCAGACUUUUACUCACGGAUAAUGUUUCCAGUGAUGUCCUGCGACCAGUACUUAUAAGAGCAUAUUGGGGGAAUGUGCAGAAGGGAUUCAGAUACUCAAAUAUGGACAAUAAGAAUGGACUGGAGAACUCUGAACAAGGACACUGUGAUAAAAUGUUCAGAUUCGACACAUCAUCGACACUACACUAAGUCGACACUGCUGAGGAGCUGCAGUGUGAUACAUUCUUAUGUCUUCUCUGAUAUAUACAUAUAUUUGCUUAAACCAUAUAUCUAAAUAAAUUGUUAAGAUUCUUCUUUUUAAUUGAUCUGGAGUACUAUGUGUGGUCGCCUGAGGCAGAGGGGCCGUGAGAGAAUUUUCCUGUCUAGAUUGUUUGAUGGAUACUUCUGGAAAGAAAGCUGCCAGACAGGUUUUUCGCUCUCGCACUCCAUAAAGUUGCUGUAUUGUUAAGGUUAUGUUGCAAGAAGCAUGUGUAGGAGGAAUUGUUAUUUUGGUCAUAAUUUUAAACAUGUAUGUUUUACUCUUUUGUUUUUCGAGACUCUGCGUAGUCUCGAAGGGGGGAAAUAUGUGGUAUCCGAAGGCCUAUAAAUUUAAGUUACAGUUUGUCAUAAGUUCAAGUGAUAUUUUUGUCAACAUAUGCAGUGUUAGUAAGACAUGAGGUUCAACGUCGUAAUUCUUACUACGAAAUGUUUAGGCUAGGGGCCUCUCAAUGGCCUCUGACCUUUAUCUUAAUAAAUCCCCCAUCUCCCUGUUUUACCUCACAUAUCUGUGCUAGAACCAGAUGUUUCUUUACUAUUUUCUUGAAUAAACAAUAGACCUAUAUAAAGCCUAUGUUCGACGCAUAUAGACAGAGUUGUUCAUUUGGCAGGAUGCUCUCCAAGCUCCCGGGGCUUGAAAUGAUGCUGUACCUUUUUGUAAUAAACCUUUAUAUACAAUCAA